AUAAGGGUAUAUGGUGGAUGCCUAGGUACUAUGAGCCGAUGAAGGACGCGGCAGCCGGCGAUACGCUUCGGGGAGGUGGCAAACAACCUUUGAUCCGGAGAUUUCCGAAUGGGGAAACCCAUGCAUUUGAAGAAUGCAUGCUGUAUGCACGUGGGUGCAUAUGUGCGGGAACCAUGCGAAGUGAAACAUCUCAGUAGCAUGUGGAAAAUAAAUCAAUUCAGACGUAAGUCUGAUCGAGAUUCCCUUAGUAGUGGCGAGCGAACGGGGAUAUGUAUAGAAAUUUAUUCAUUGAGCGCCUAUGCUUGGCGUUUGGUGAUUAAAUUAUCUAUUUGCCUAAACCUUUUGAGUGUUUUUUUUGUAGCAAUACAGAAGUCUAAAGCUUACUGGCGUUGCUCAAGAGGUGUUAUAAGUGGGAGUUGUUGUAAGACAGUAAUCUUACAAGGAAAUAUUGUAUGUUGUAGCAGAAUACUCCUGGAAAGGAGAACCAAAGAGGGUGAUAGUCCCGUAUAGCGAAACAUCAUACAGUUUCCUAAUUUCUUCUUAAGUACGACCAGACACGAGAAAUCUGGUCGGAAGUCGGGUCGACUAAGAUCCAAGGCUAAAUACUCAUAGUGACCGAUAGUGAACAAGUACCGUGAGGGAAAGGUGAAAAGCACCCCGGAAGGGGAAUGAAAUAGUUUCUGAAACCAUAUACUUACAAGGAGUCGAAGACCAUAGGCUGACAGCAAUGUCGGUACUGGUUAACGGCGUGCCUAUUGAAGAAUGAUCCAACGAGUUAGUUAUACGCGGCUUAACUAAGUCUUACCAAAGACGAAGUUGUAGUGAAAGCGAGGAUUAAUAGUCCGUAAUUAAAUUAUAAAGUUAUCCCGAUUUAUCGGGAUCAGCUUUAUAAUCUAAUAUGUCGCGUGUGCUAGACCCGAAACCCGAGUGAGCUACCCAUGGCCAGGAUGAACACUGUGUAAAAGCAGUGGGAGGUCCGAACCCACUAGUGCUGCAAAACUAGGGGAUGAGCUGUGGGUCGAAGAGAAAUUCUAAUCGAACCGGGUGAUAGCUGGUUCUCCUCGAAAUAACUUUAGGGUUAGCGUCGAGUGUUCCUUUUAGAGGUAGAGCACUGAAUCGGUUUUGGCUGCGCAAGCGGUCGUAUCGAACCAAACUCCGAAUUCUAAAAGUCAAUAGCUCGGCAGUUAGUCCGUGGGCUCUAAGGUCCAUCGGACAAAUGGAAAAGAAUCCACACCAUCGUCUAAGGCCCCCAAAUCCUAGCUAUAGUGCAAAGGAUGUGGGGUUGCUCAUACAACCAGGAGGUUGGCUUAGAAGCAGCCAUCCUUUAAAGAAAGCGUAACAGCUCACUGGUCAAGCGAUCCUGCGCCGACAAUAUAUAGGGGCUAAGCUAGGUGCCGAAGACAUGGGUUUGCUUUUAAUUUAUUAAUUGCAAGCGGUAGAGGAGCGUUGUGUGCGGGUUGAAGUAGGAUCCGUAAGGGCCUAUGGACUGCACACAAGUGAGAAUGUUGGAAUAAGUAAUAUAUAUAGGGGUGAGAAUCCCCUUCGCCGAAUAUCCAAGGUUUCCUGGGCAACGAUCGUCGUCCCAGGGUUAGUCGAUCCUAAGAGCCGGCCCCAAGGGGUCGGUCCGAUGGAAAACAGGGUUGAUAUUCCCUGACCACCGCAUAGUUAUCCAAGGCGGGACGCAUCAUGGUAACACUGGCGUUAUCUGACUAUUAGCGUUGUUGCAGCUGUAGGGUGGAGUUCCAGGCAAAUCCGGAACUUCUAUGUUAGUCUAGGCGCAAGCCGAGAUGAUACUGUAAGCUCGAGGCUGUGAAGAAAUUCCGCAAGGGAGAUUAGUGUGACCCAAGGUGCCAAGAAAAGCGUCGUGGUUAUGCUAUGUGGUGCUCGUACCGUAAACCGACACAGGUGGAUGAGGAGAGAAUCCUAAGGCGUCCGGACCAAUGUUCGUUAAGGAACUCGGCAAAAAAGCAGGUGUACCUUCGGUAUAUACCUUGCCCUUUUGCAUGCUGGGUAAUGGAAGAAUUUUAAGUUUGGGAUUGUGGCUCAAAAAGAUGAGUUUGUUUGGAACAACAGUGGUAAUGGGUGAAGCACUCUUCAGCCAUGGAUAAGGUGUGCUGUGCACAUAACCACUGCCAAAUAGGCUUAUUGUCUAGAGCGCGCGCCUCGGAAGCGCGAGAUUGCGGGUUCGAGUCCCGUCAGUCCCACCAAGAUCUGGAAACAUAUCAGUCAAAAGCCACCACAAGGCAACGCACUAAGGCACCGCCGGUGUCUUAAAAUGCGGGUUAAGAUAAAGCCUGUACUGAUCACUGUUUCCAGUCAAGAAAGCGGAACGAGGGAAAAGGCGAGUCCCUCGUUUCGCCUGUGGGGUGUAUGAUCUGCAGUUGUCCUAGAGGACUUGAGUUCUUGCUUUUGCAAGAGCAAAACGGUUUUCGUUCAGCUGUCCUGGUCCCCUCACGAGAUGGAGCAAGUGUGUUUCUAGCCAGGUGGCGCUGUACAUGACACACACUUGCUCCUCUCCAUUCUUUCCACAGAUGGUCGUUUUACGAUCGUCCCCGAAUUUAUAGAUGGACUUUAAACCUCCUUCUAUUGUUCGGGUCCAUUACCCAGCAUGACAAAAGGGCCGCAGCGACUGAUCUCUCCCGACUGUUUACCAAAAACUUAGGUCCGUGCUAAAGCGCAAGCUGAUGUAUACGGGCUGAUGCCUGGCCAGUGUCAGAAGGUUAAACCCCUCGUCGCAAGAUUGGGGGCCAAGCCCUGAUGAACGCCGGCAGUAACUAUAACUGUCCUAUGGUAGCGAAAUUCCUUGUCGCGUAAGUUGCGACCCGCACGAAUGGCAUAACGAGUAGAGAACUGUCUUAACGAACAAUCCGAUGAACUUACAAUGGCGGUAAAGAUGCCGUCUACCCGCAGCAAGACGGAAAGACCCUAUGAAGCUUUACUAUAGCGUGUCAUUGAAAUUAUAUUUCUGCUGUUUAGUAUAGGUGGGAGACUUUGAAAGUUUGGCGCUAGCUGAACUGGAGUCGAAAUGUGAAAUACCACCCUGCAGUGAUGUGGUUUCUAACCAGGCCUUAACCUAGUCUGGGACAGUGGCUCGUGGGUAGUUUAACUGGGGCGGUUGCCUCCUAAAUGGUAACGGAGGCGUUUAUUA
This 3148-nucleotide ribosomal RNA is filed under the name wastewater metagenome. RNAcentral's name for it is "bacterial LSU rRNA". It matches the Rfam family "Bacterial large subunit ribosomal RNA", at positions 11 to 2315 of the family's 2925-position model. The record is from RNAcentral.